Molecule: long non-coding RNA, 1033 nt
Filed under: Echeneis naucrates (live sharksucker)
Lineage: Eukaryota; Metazoa; Chordata; Actinopteri; Carangiformes; Echeneidae
Description: lncRNA (ENSENLG00000000442.1)
Source: RNAcentral
CUAAAUCCUCUCGUGUCCACAUCUCCAUCCCACCGCCCCUGUCUGUGUUUGCGCCCAUUUCUUGACUUCUGAACCUCUGAAUUCACGUCUUCUGGCCUGACCUUAAUCUUUUCAUCUCAAGCCUUUGCAUAUGUUUCCCGUUCUGCUCAGUCUCUCGUAACGUUUCACUCUAUUAGCAUCCACUAAUGUUCGUAGGUGGAUUUUGUGCAACUAAAGCGUCUUGCAGUUCCCCCCGUUUCCCUCCAUUGUUCCCACUUCCACUGUUGUUCUCCCCAGUUGGUCCCACAGUUUAGUCCAGUGCAACAAGACGCUCCACUGCUGCCCCUCAGAAAACCCACAAAUGGAAAAUUCUUGACACACAAAGUAGAAAUUUGUUCCUGCCUCACCAGCCAUCCCCACUUUAUUUUUUGUCUUUAAGAAUCUCUCCUUUUUUUUUUCUCCCUCCUCUUUCUCCGGACACGUGCUCGACUCAUGACACUGAGAUGUAUUCCUGACUGUAACUGUUUUCGCCAAAGUGUUUCCGAAACACUGAUGAGGAGACAUAACCGUCCAGUCAAGCGCUGAAUAUUUUUUGAAUGAUGGAAACAAGAAAAAAACAAACAAACAAACAAACAAAAAAAAAACAAAAACAAGAAACAGACAGACAAACAAACAAACAAACAGCUGGCCUGCGGUGACAAUGAAACAAAAUGGCUGCUGGUUCGAGUGCCUUGGGUAACACCAUGAUAACCAUCACCCACCCGACACUUCAGAUCGGAUGACUCACUGCCAGACAGACAUUCAGAUGACUAAUGAUGAUGGCACAGUGAUGGUUAGAGGGCGGUCACAGCCAAUGAAUGUUUACAGCUAAAAUGCUAAUAAGCUAAUCACUCUGGCUCUCAAAUCCCCCCGUCUUGUGGGAAGAAGAAGAGCAGGAGGAAUCUGAUGCAGAUCUUCUUUGUUGUGCUGUAGGAACUGGAUAGAUUUUUUUUUUUCUGAAGUGUAUCUGUUUGUGAAUUUGGUGUAUGGACACUGUAAACUUUGCUAACUCAUU